Molecule: ribosomal RNA, 427 nt
Filed under: uncultured bacterium
Lineage: Bacteria
Description: bacterial SSU rRNA
Rfam family: Bacterial small subunit ribosomal RNA
Source: RNAcentral
UGGGGAAUUUUGGACAAUGGACGCAAGUCUGAUCCAGCCAUGCCGCGUGCGGGAAGAAGGCCUUCGGGUUGUAAACCGCUUUUGUCAGGGAAGAAACGAGUUUCUCUAAUACAGGGACUUAAUGACGGUACCUGAAGAAUAAGCACCGGCUAACUACGUGCCAGCAGCCGCGGUAAUACGUAGGGUGCGAGCGUUAAUCGGAAUUACUGGGCGUAAAGCGUGCGCAGGCGGUUAUAUAAGACAGAUGUGAAAUCCCCGGGCUCAACCUGGGAACUGCAUUUGUGACUGUAUAGCUAGAGUACGGCAGAGGGGGAUGGAAUUCCGAGUGUAGAGGUGAAAUUCGUAGAUAUGCGGAGGAACACCGAUGGCGAAGGCAAUCCCCUGGACCUGUACUGACGCUCAUGCACGAAAGCGUGGGGAGCAAACA